ACUCGAGUGGCGAACGGGUGAGUAACACGUGGGCGAUCUGCCCUGCACUUCGGGAUAAGCCUGGGAAACUGGGUCUAAUACCGGAUAGGAGCCAUUUUAGUGUGAUGGUUGGAAAGUUUUUUCGGUGUAGGAUGAGCUCGCGGCCUAUCAGCUUGUUGGUGGGGUAAUGGCCUACCAAGGCGGCGACGGGUAGCCGGCCUGAGAGGGUGGACGGCCACAUUGGGACUGAGAUACGGCCCAG
RNAcentral lists this ribosomal RNA (241 nucleotides) under uncultured Actinomycetales bacterium. RNAcentral describes it as "partial 16S ribosomal RNA". It matches the Rfam family "Bacterial small subunit ribosomal RNA", at positions 89 to 334 of the family's 1533-position model. The record is from RNAcentral. Lineage: Bacteria; Bacillati; Actinomycetota; Actinomycetes; Actinomycetales.